AGACGACAGGAACCGAGUGCAGUUGCUUCAGGAUACGGAUGAUUUUCUCGGCUCUCGCCAAACGAACUCCGGUCCCUGUAGUACAUAUGCCCAGCCUGCACAUGGCGCUGUGUCAACUACGCUGUAACAUACUAACACCGGAAUAUUGGUAGCGGAAGACAGGAAACCCAUAAAACGCACGUGCCAUGUGACGUCAGACGCUGCAGUCCGCCGGUCCCUUUAAAAGCCACAGGUGUCGCGGAUCGUUCUUAUUUGGCGGCGGGACCUGGUCGAUGAACAUCUCGGACCGAACGUGUUUGAACCAGAUGUGGAUUCUUCACACGGAGACCAGGUUGACGUUGUCCAGGGUCGGAGUACGCUCCUGAAACUGAAGGACAAGAAUGUUCAUCCUGAAGAUCUUCAACAUGGUAGGGAACGUCGUUUAUUUCUAAUUCUUUGAGGCCGCCGUGCCUCUGCCGUCCUCUACCAGGCCGCCGUGCCUC
Cynoglossus semilaevis (tongue sole) is the source of this 482-nucleotide long non-coding RNA. RefSeq lists it as uncharacterized. The transcript has 3 exons. NCBI's taxonomy places the organism in Eukaryota, Metazoa, Chordata, Actinopteri, Pleuronectiformes, Cynoglossidae. The record is from RefSeq and is a predicted model, not a curated record.